This 329-nucleotide ribosomal RNA is filed under the name uncultured eukaryote. RNAcentral's name for it is "partial 18S ribosomal RNA". It matches the Rfam family "Eukaryotic small subunit ribosomal RNA", at positions 1470 to 1796 of the family's 1831-position model. The record is from RNAcentral.
CCCUUAGAUGUUCUGGGCCGCACGCGCGCUACACUGAUGCAUUCAACGAGUCUAAAACCUGCUCUGAUAGGGGUGGGUAAUCUUUUGAAUGUGCAUCGUGAUUGGGAUAGAUGAUUGCAAUUUUUCAUCUUCAACGAGGAAUGCCUAGUAAACGCAAGUCAUCAGCUUGCAUUGAUUACGUCCCUGCCCUUUGUACACACCGCCCGUCGCUCCUACCGAUUGAAUGAUCCGAUGAAUAUCAUGGAUUGAGGAUGUAAGCAGGUUCGCCUGUCUUCAUCUUCGAGAAGUGAAGUAAAUCUUAUCAUUUAGAGGAGGGAGAAGUCGUAACA